Non-coding RNA from Vicia faba (fava bean), 207 nucleotides. The record is from the annotation of a GenBank genome assembly. NCBI's taxonomy places the organism in Eukaryota, Viridiplantae, Streptophyta, Magnoliopsida, Fabales, Fabaceae.
AUGAGUCAAAAGCAAGAAGGCAUGAUAACAGUGUCGAAACCACAGCAGCAUUACUCCCGGAAAGCUGAGCAACCCCAAACUUAUCUUCUAUGUGACAACAGGCAGUCAGUGAGGCAACAAUUCUUGAGCACCAAGCAUAUAGCUGCAUGCAAAAAAAUACAAAAGUUUAUUAUUCUAGUUUGGAUAAACAACUUAAUUAAACACUAA